GCUUCGCUAAUCCAUCCAGUUCCAACCUCGCUCGACACUGUCACUUCUGCCUCGCUCGGGUGUCGCUGCUUUCUCUGCGUGCUCUACAGGCGGCAAACAAUAUUUUAGUGCCUUGUUUACUUCUAAAAAAUUUUGCAAAAUAGAAAUAGUAGCACUUUCGUUUGUAUUUGACAAAUAUUAUCCAAUUAUAGACUAACUAGGCUCAAAAGAUUCAUCUCGUCAAUUCCGACCAAACUGUGUAAUUAGUUUUUAUUUUUAUUUAAAUUUAAUACUCUAUGUAUACGUCUAAAAAUUCAAUGUAACGGAGAAUCUAAAAAAAAUGGUGCAAAAUUUUUAGGAACUAAACAAGCCAAGCCAAGGCGAUUAGGCGAGACCACGCAAGAGAGAGGGGGGGGGGGGGGGGGGGGGGGUACCGUACCGGCUUUAUCUGUGCAACUUGUCCACCACGGUUGCCGCGUGCACAUUACUAUUUGUUGUAGUUGUACGCCGAGGCCCCCCUGGUCCGUCAAGAGCCGUGCCCGGCCGCGUCUCUGUCCGUGACGUGCGUGUCGUCCGCAUGGAGUCCAUCUGUUGGUGACGAGGCACGGCCAGGAACCGGUGGAUCUGCCGCCCCAGCGCCAGGCUUGUGUUGUGUCUCAUGCGCGUGCCGAAUUGCUCGUCAAAUUUGGGUGCAUGCAUAUUUAUGUACUAGAUGAGCGUAAUCGUAGUACGAAUCUGCUGUCCUGCCUGCGCGGCGCUCAUCAAUUUUGGACGUACUAAUAAGCAGCUGGCACAUAGUAGCUCAGCAGCAUGCAAUGGUACUGACGAUACUGCUAAGAGUGACAGUCCGGCCCAUGGCUUACUCCACAAAUCAGUGUGCUACGACAUCACUACUACACUACUAUCUACACCGUCUCUUGGGUUUAUUUUGUUUGCUACUCCGAUCCUAUCAGUUGCCGACCAUCUAUCCUGCUGACGACGAUCGAACCGGCGAGCCGUACUUCCACCGGCCACGCCCCACGCGCCAUGCAUCUCUCCUCCGACCUCCCGUCCUCUCCUUGGGCCGGCCGUCGCCGGUGCCCCUGCCCGGUGUCGUAGCCGAGAAAACCGGGCGAAACGAGCAACAUUCCCCUGAAUUCUGAGGCCUCCCGAGCCGGGCGCCCAGGCCGGCUAAUUGUGGAGUACUACGCGGGCGCCGUCCAGAGAUUCCGAUGGCCUGGCUGAGCUGGACUCACAUCGUUGGCUCGCUAAGCAAUGGCGUUUUGUUUGGUUUCGACGCCAAUGUGUUGCACAUGCCCGAACUUCACGCCCUUGUGUGUACUCCGUA
RNAcentral lists this long non-coding RNA (1306 nucleotides) under Sorghum bicolor (sorghum). RNAcentral describes it as "long non-coding RNA (SBIC_LNC005631)". Lineage: Eukaryota; Viridiplantae; Streptophyta; Magnoliopsida; Poales; Poaceae. The record is from RNAcentral.